Long non-coding RNA from Mus musculus (house mouse), 1673 nucleotides. RefSeq annotates it as predicted gene, 17518. Lineage: Eukaryota; Metazoa; Chordata; Mammalia; Rodentia; Muridae. The transcript is spliced from 3 exons. The record is from RefSeq and is marked validated.
GCGUCCUGCGGUCUUCCUGAGCGAAAGCUGGUGAACUGGGGUGCUGGGGUGCUAUCUGCGGGCAUUUCAGCUCCUUCCGCCGCUGCUGAGAAAGUUGAAGGCUUCGAAUUAAAUGAGUAGCAGCUCACCUAGUUCCUCCACACUGUUAGCGGGCAUGCCCGUGCUGGGUAAGCAGACCCAUCUUCACGGAGCCGAAAGUGGACCCAGGAAUUCCAAGCGGUGUACUGCAAGUCACAUCUCUGAUUCUAGCCCGUCUGCUCCCGGAGACCCGCUUUCCUACAUCUAGAAAAAAACAGGGGUCUGUGGCGAGCCAAAGACGCCCCCUGCCUCAAGGACCCAGCGUUACUGAGACUAGCACUGCAAGGAAAAAAUAUGAGAAGCUGGAGGGGACAGCAUCGCUGUGGCUACAGAGUGGGCGUGUGUCUGGGUCAGAGUAUGGUUCACCCUACUCCAGGGCGGGAAGGACGGUCAGUCUAAAGAAAGUCAGCUUUUGAUUUCAAAGACCACAGGCUAGAGGGAAGGCGCGCCACCACGAACAGCCUGGAUGCAUCAGCUGCCCAGGAAUUCAUUAUGUAGCUCACCCACAGUGAUCCUCCUGCUUCAGCCUCCCACAUGCUAGGAUAACAGCCCAGCCCAGAGGCAAAGAAAUGACUCCUUUUGGAACCUAUUUCAACAAGUCCCUGAGGCGUAUCGACCUUUAACCGCCAGGAAUCCUGUGGUCCUGCUUGAGGUGUGCCAAGACGGAACGGAGCAAAGAAUACCAUAAACCAACAGACUUUGCAAAUACACUGGAAGGGGGAACAUGAACAUGCUGGAGGUCAGAGGACAACUUGAAGCCUCUUGUUUUCUUCCUGAGGAUUGAACUUGGCCUUGCUACCGAGCGCCUCUGACCUCUGAGACAUCACACCAGCCCGAGUUAUGGAUGUGCAGAACCACACAGGCAGCUGAGGGAAACGGGAAGCUAACAACCGCUGAUCACGCUCACAGGCUGAUCCUAAUUGCUUGCACUGCCUAACGCUUGCACACCACAGUGACAAUAAGAUGUGAUUGCAGGUCCCGGAAGCUGGUGGCUUACUUCCCUAGCUGGCAGGUUUGAUUGCAGCUAUUCAAAGACCAUUUAGAUGUGUGCAUGUGUCUAGGAUCCAAAUGGUACCCAAGUCUGCCUUCCCUGACCAACCAGCACCAGGAGAAGGAUACACUGUCCCCUCAGCCCCCAGGGACUUGCCACCCACUGUUAGAUCCCUUCUUAGGGGAUAUAACACACUAAGGGAUAAGCAGAAGUCAGAUGGGCUGACAUAUCUGUAUUCCAGAAGAAACUGAGGAAUGUGUCUCAACUUCUUAAAAGUCCUCAGAGUCGGGAUAUUCUUUAAAUAGUGUUUCUUCUCUCUUUCAUUUAAUGAGUGGAAUCAUGAUUUCCCAGUCCCCAACUGAACCUUGGAUCUCGUGAAUGUUAAAAACAAGUAGCGGGGAGCUGGAGAGAUGGCUCAGCGGUUAAGAGCACUGGAUGCUCUUCCAAAGGUCCUGAGUUCAAUUCCCAGCAACCUUAUGGUGGCUCACAACCAUCUGUAAUGCAAUCUGGUGCCCUCUCCUGCCAUGCAAGGCAUACAUGCAAGGCAGAACACUGUAUGCAUGAUAAUAAAUAAAUAAGUAAAUAAAUAAAUCUUUAAAAAGUA